AAAACAGGCCACAGGGCCCGUAUCUAUGGGACAUUACAUAACUCUAUCCUGUUCACAUCUCCAUUACUCUUCUCUCCUCUCCCCAAGUCAGCCUAAGAAGAUGUCUUCUACUUGAGUGUCAAGGAAGCCCCCUAUCCUUCAAGGUGCUUCUUUUCAAUGUCCUAUCCAUGCCCAAUACCCAAAGUAGCUCUAUUAUCCUGAGAAGAAGAAGCCAGGAAGAACCUUUCUGCUCUGCUUUUCAACCUGUCAUGAACUUCCCCUAAGGAAAUAAGCACAGAGGAUGAUCUUACUUGAAGGGAGAAGGAGAGUGCCAGCCAGAGAAAAGCAGGAUGCUGCCAGAGCAUGGCUUGAUGUGUGAUGUGUAGUUCCACACCCGGGAUCCAAACCCACAAACCCUGGGCUGCUGAAGGGACAUCUGGAAAGUGCAGAGAAG
Molecule: long non-coding RNA, 433 nt
Organism: Equus caballus (horse)
Lineage: Eukaryota; Metazoa; Chordata; Mammalia; Perissodactyla; Equidae
Source: Ensembl